GCAGAACGCGAAGAACCUUACCUGGCCUUGACAUGCCACUAACGAAGCAGAGAUGCAUUAGGUGCCCGUAAGGGAAAGUGGACACAGGUGCUGCAUGGCUGUCGUCAGCUCGUGUCGUGAGAUGUUGGGUUAAGUCCCGCAACGAGCGCAACCCUUGCCAUUAAUUGCCAUCAUUUAGUUGGGCACUUUAAUGGGACUGCCGGUGACAAACCGGAGGAAGGUGGGGAUGACGUCAAGUCCUCAUGGCCCUUAUGGCCAGGGCUUCACACGUAAUACAAUGGUCGGUACAGAGAGUUGCCAAGCCGCGAGGUGGAGCUAAUCUCAGAAAGCCGAUCGUAGUCCGGAUUGUUCUCUGCAACUCGAGAGCAUGAAGUCGGAAUCGCUAGUAAUCGCGGAUCAGCAUGUCGCGGUGAAUACGUUCCCGGGUCUUGUACACACCG
RNAcentral lists this ribosomal RNA (440 nucleotides) under uncultured bacterium. RNAcentral's name for it is "bacterial SSU rRNA". It matches the Rfam family "Bacterial small subunit ribosomal RNA", at positions 954 to 1392 of the family's 1533-position model. The record is from RNAcentral.